This 337-nucleotide ribosomal RNA is filed under the name Escherichia coli. RNAcentral describes it as "partial 23S ribosomal RNA". It matches the Rfam family "Bacterial large subunit ribosomal RNA", at positions 856 to 1191 of the family's 2925-position model. Lineage: Bacteria; Pseudomonadati; Pseudomonadota; Gammaproteobacteria; Enterobacterales; Enterobacteriaceae. The record is from RNAcentral.
UCCCCGAAAGCUAUUUAGGUAGCGCCUCGUGAAUUCAUCUCCGGGGGUAGAGCACUGUUUCGGCAAGGGGGUCAUCCCGACUUACCAACCCGAUGCAAACUGCGAAUACCGGAGAAUGUUAUCACGGGAGACACACGGCGGGUGCUAACGUCCGUCGUGAAGAGGGAAACAACCCAGACCGCCAGCUAAGGUCCCAAAGUCAUGGUUAAGUGGGAAACGAUGUGGGAAGGCCCAGACAGCCAGGAUGUUGGCUUAGAAGCAGCCAUCAUUUAAAGAAAGCGUAAUAGCUCACUGGUCGAGUCGGCCUGCGCGGAAGAUGUAACGGGGCUAAACCAUG